RNAcentral lists this ribosomal RNA (402 nucleotides) under uncultured bacterium. Its description in RNAcentral is "bacterial SSU rRNA". It matches the Rfam family "Bacterial small subunit ribosomal RNA", at positions 29 to 435 of the family's 1533-position model. The record is from RNAcentral.
ACGAACGCUGGCGGCGUGCUUAACACAUGCAAGUCGAGCGGUAAGGCCCUUUCGGGGGUACACGAGCGGCGAACGGGUGAGUAACACGUGGGUGACCUGCCCUUAGCUCUGGGAUAAGCCUGGGAAACUGGGUCUAAUACCGGAUAUGACUCCAUGACGCAUGUUGUGGGGUGGAAAGCCUUGUGCGGCUAGGGAUGGGCCCGCGGCCUAUCAGCUUGUUGGUGGGGUGAUGGCCUACCAAGGCGACGACGGGUAGCCGGCCUGAGAGGGCGACCGGCCACACUGGGACUGAGACACGGCCCAGACUCCUACGGGAGGCAGCAGUGGGGAAUCUUGCGCAAUGGGCGAAAGCCUGACGCAGCGACGCCGCGUGAGGGAUGACGGCCUCGGUUGUAACGUCUU